GUUCUUCAAGAACUUUGGGCAUUUGAAAGAAGGGAUGUACUUCGUCGAAAAAGCACUGGCAGGGUUGGCAGGGGAGGGGCUAAAAGACUAUGAAUGGUCUUUGACAUCAGGUGUGCAAUUUGUGGAUGCACUAUACGAGAGGGGUCCCGAUCCGGAGGAGAGCGUGGAGGUGUACGACUGCGAAGCGCUUUGCCCAUCUAUAAGGCUGGAGCCGGCCUGCAUACUGUUGUGCAGAGUGUUGUUGGAUGGCCUGGAGGAGGAGGCCGAACCGAGCUUGCUUGGGAAUUUGUGCCGUAUGCUGAUGCACUGCAUAUACUU
RNAcentral lists this long non-coding RNA (318 nucleotides) under Androctonus crassicauda. The record is from RNAcentral. Lineage: Eukaryota; Metazoa; Arthropoda; Arachnida; Scorpiones; Buthidae.